GCUUACGUAGCUCAGAGGUAGAGUUCUUGUCUGAUACGCAGGAGGUCAAUGGUUCGAAUCCAUUCGUAAGCACCA
This 75-nucleotide transfer RNA is filed under the name Paenibacillus plantiphilus. RNAcentral describes it as "Paenibacillus sp. JJ-246 tRNA-Ile". It matches the Rfam family "tRNA". From Rfam's summary of the family: Transfer RNA (tRNA) molecules are approximately 80 nucleotides in length. Their secondary structure includes four short double-helical elements and three loops (D, anti-codon, and T loops). The record is from RNAcentral. Lineage: Bacteria; Bacillati; Bacillota; Bacilli; Caryophanales; Paenibacillaceae.